GGUCCCGUAGCUCAAUGGCAGAGCAAGCGCCUCUUAAGCGUUUGGUUGAGGGUUCGAGUCCCCCCGGGAUCACCA
Molecule: transfer RNA, 75 nt
Filed under: Anaerolineaceae bacterium
Lineage: Bacteria; Bacillati; Chloroflexota; Anaerolineae; Anaerolineales; Anaerolineaceae
Also listed under: 6 other names
Description: tRNA-Lys
Rfam family: tRNA
About the family: Transfer RNA (tRNA) molecules are approximately 80 nucleotides in length.
Source: RNAcentral